This 519-nucleotide ribosomal RNA is filed under the name uncultured eukaryote. Its description in RNAcentral is "SSU rRNA". It matches the Rfam family "Eukaryotic small subunit ribosomal RNA", at positions 1161 to 1707 of the family's 1831-position model. The record is from RNAcentral.
AGGGCACCACCAGGAGUGGAGCCUGCGGCUUAAUUUGACUCAACACGGGAAAACUUACCUGGUCCUGACACUAGAAGGAUUGACAGAUUGAUAGCUCUUUCUUGAUUUGGUGGAUGGUGGUGCAUGGCCGUUCUUAGUUGGUGGAGUGAUUUGUCUGGUUAAUUCCGAUAACGAACGAGACUCUAGCCUAUUAAAUAACACGCAGAAUCUUGUCUUCUGCGGUGUUUCUUAAUGGGAUCAAGUGUGUUUAACGCUUUGAAACAGAGCAAUAACAGGUCUGUGAUGCCCUUAGAUGUUCGGGGCUGCACGCGCGCUACAUUGAAAGACAAAAUGAGCCCUCUAGUUUUUAAUAAAGCUAGUAAUCUUUGAAUGUUUUUCUUAAUGGGGAUAGGGGAUUGCAAUUGUGCCCCUUGAACGAGGAAUUCCCAGUAAGUGCUAAUCAUUAGUUAGUACUGAUUACGUCCCUGCCCUUUGUACACACCGCCCGUCGCUACUACCGAUUGAAUGGUUUAGUGAGAU